This 459-nucleotide ribosomal RNA is filed under the name uncultured bacterium. RNAcentral describes it as "partial 16S ribosomal RNA". It matches the Rfam family "Bacterial small subunit ribosomal RNA", at positions 338 to 795 of the family's 1533-position model. The record is from RNAcentral.
CCUACGGGAGGCAGCAGUGAGGAAUAUUGGUCAAUGGGCGCAGGCCUGAACCAGCCAAGUCGCGUGAGGGAUGACUGCCCUAUGGGUUGUAAACCUCUUUUAUAAGGGAGGAAUAAUGGCUACGUGUAGCCUGUUGCGCGUACCUGAUGAAUAAGCAUCGGCUAACUCCGUGCCAGCAGCCGCGGUAAUACGGAGGAUGCGAGCGUUAUCCGGAUUUAUUGGGUUUAAAGGGUGCGUGGGUGGUAUUUUAAGUUGGUGGUAAAAGGUCGGGGCUACACCUUGAUUUGCCAUUAAAACUGGAAUACUAGAGUACAGAAGAGGUAGGCGGAAUAAGUGGUGUAGCGGUGAAAUGCUUAGAUAUAACGAAGAACCCCGAUAGCGAAGGCAGCUUACCAGACUGUAACUGACGCUGAUGCACGAGAGCGUGGGUAGCGAACAGGAUUAGAUACCCUUGUAGUC